This 240-nucleotide unclassified non-coding RNA is filed under the name fungal sp. RNAcentral's name for it is "partial internal transcribed spacer region". The stretch from base 1 to 46 matches the Rfam family "Eukaryotic small subunit ribosomal RNA", at positions 1786 to 1831 of the family's 1831-position model. The record is from RNAcentral. Lineage: Eukaryota; Fungi.
AAGUCGUAACAAGGUUUCCGUAGGUGAACCUGCGGAAGGAUCAUUAACGAAUUGCGUUCGGGGUUGUUGCUGGCUCUCCUCUCGGGGGGAGUAUGUGCACGCCUCGCAUCCAUUUCAACCUCACUCGUGCACUUCAGAGGACCGCUCGGUUCUCUUUUUCACACAAACCUCUGUAUAGUCAUUGUAGAACGUCUUGUAUUAAACUAAAUACAACUUUCAACAACGGAUCUCUUGGCUCUC